Non-coding RNA from Elaeis guineensis (African oil palm), 1170 nucleotides. NCBI's taxonomy places the organism in Eukaryota, Viridiplantae, Streptophyta, Magnoliopsida, Arecales, Arecaceae. The record is from RefSeq and is a predicted model, not a curated record.
GAGGACAGGGCGUAUAAAAGCCUUUCGAGGAAGGUUGAGAAGAGAGCAUUUCGUCCGAUCAAAGCUCUCAGUUUUCCUCGCACCACUCCCUCGCUUCCUCCUUGUAUUGGAGAGAAGAAGGCAUUUUGAAAAGAAGGAAAAGGAAAGAGCAGUGAAAGCCAAAGAGAUUCUCCUCCGAAAAUCAAAAUAUUUCUACUCGAUUUAUUUUUUUCUUUUUCUUUUUUGGUUUCCGAGAAGUCCGCCGUUAAUUCUUGUGAGAAUUAGAAUUGAUCGAAGGAGUGGCGAAAAAUUUGAGCUCCAAAGAGAUCAUCUGGAGAGAUUCGAGGAUCUAAUCGUUAUCCAGAUAAGAGCUAUGAGGAUCAAAAUUGGAAAUUGAAGGUUUCUUUCCUCUGGUUGAAGAGAUGUGUUUCCUCUUAAUAAUCUGUCCAGAUUCCUCUCAGUUCAAGUGCAUUUUUAACAUGAGUGCCGUCGAUCUCUGCUUUAAUUCUCUCAAAAUUGAUGAAAUAAAGUUCUAAACACGCAUAUUUUGAGCAAUAUUCAAAGAAGAGAAGAUCGGGACAAGCUCCGAUCGCAGCAAACAGUUCAAAAUCCCAGAAGCCACAGAAAUGACAUUCGUUCCAAACCCGUUCAAUUAAUUCCACAAAGCUUCAGAACUGCGACCAGAUAACAAGCCAAGGCCUAGGCAUCGAAGGAUACAUAGAUGGAGAGGGAGCCGAGGAGUCCCUAUCACACUCGUGGUUCGAGAGGCGUUAAUAAUGCAGGCACUGGGUCGUUGGCUUUGUCCCAGCCGGAUUUGCUGCUACACCGGGGUAACCGGAAGCGGCUGAGGUGCGUCAAGGUCUAGCGGAAGGACGAUGUGGCCACCAACAACAAGUCCACCACCACGGUUCGGGUUGUCCGGGUCGACAAGGACUCGGGCUCGGCUCGUCUUCCCCGCCGCACCUCCCAGACCCAGCAUCGCGACCUUAGGGUGGGAGCGGGGAGGGGACCUAGCACGUGCUUCUGGGUCAGGGCACGUGAGGUGUGCAUCAAGGCGUACUGUCCCUCGUUGCAGACGCUGUUUUCGCUCUCUUUGUUUCUUUUCUCUACUGAUGCUAUGCUCCCGGAGCGCUAGAAGCCGGGAUUGGAUCCGACAUAAUGGUUCCGCGGGCGUCGUGCUGUUUCCUGUUA